This 72-nucleotide transfer RNA is filed under the name Etmopterus unicolor (brown lanternshark). RNAcentral's name for it is "tRNA-Val". It matches the Rfam family "tRNA". Rfam says of the family: Transfer RNA (tRNA) molecules are approximately 80 nucleotides in length. RNAcentral also lists the same sequence under 1 other name. The record is from RNAcentral. Lineage: Eukaryota; Metazoa; Chordata; Chondrichthyes; Squaliformes; Etmopteridae.
CAAAAUGUAGCUAAAUCAGUAAAGCACCUCCCUUACACCGAGGGGAAAUCCAUGCAACUUGGGUCAUUUUGA